CUCUGACCUUCCUGAUUCCUGAAAAAAGUAAAAAAAACAACCUCCAAAGCCUUGUCAUAGUGACAGUUAAAAAGAGAGCAAAGAUCAUAAGGUCUUUAAGUGAAUUAUAAAGUGAACAGUAAAAAUAAUAACUGUAUAUAUAAAUGUAUAAAACAUUUAAGAAUAAGAGUGUGAAGGUGUGGUUAUCUCCAAUCAUACCCUUCACUCCCCCCUUCUAGACCAAAUGGAAUCAUCCAAGAUUCCAUGAUGGUCUACAUAACGCCUAAGAAGCCCCGGGAGUAAUGACAAGUGUCCGCAUACAGAGCAUGAGAACAAGUGUUUCUUCAUCUCAGCUGUGGACAUGCUGGGGCCUAUUGCACACCAGUCCCCACGCCGGACUCUCCCUGCCUCGUCAUGCCCACCAUGGAUCUGAGAAGAUUCAUAAACAAAUUUUACUACAUUAACUUUCUCUUUUUUUUUUUUUUCCAGAAUUACAACAUGAAGUUUAAAAGUGUUAAAAU
Astyanax mexicanus (Mexican tetra) is the source of this 500-nucleotide long non-coding RNA. RefSeq lists it as uncharacterized. The record is from RefSeq and is a predicted model, not a curated record. The transcript is spliced from 2 exons. Lineage: Eukaryota; Metazoa; Chordata; Actinopteri; Characiformes; Acestrorhamphidae.